Long non-coding RNA from Hippopotamus amphibius kiboko, 762 nucleotides. RefSeq lists it as uncharacterized. The record is from RefSeq and is a predicted model, not a curated record. The transcript is spliced from 3 exons. Lineage: Eukaryota; Metazoa; Chordata; Mammalia; Artiodactyla; Hippopotamidae.
UACUCUGUUUUGGGGCGUGAGGGUUGCUUACCGACGGCCCCGGAAAGCUGAGAUGCUGGGAUGUGGCGGCGCUCGGAGGAAUGCUGGGUACCCCCUGAUUCGCUCCUAACGUUAGAGAGUAUCUAGUCCUUAAAGAUAAAGUGUUCCUUUGUCUGAAGAUGUAAUGAGGAUGACUUGACUGAACAGGUAGAUAAUGGUGCCAUCAACUGAAAUAGAAAAUGAGGGAGCAGGAGAAGGUGUUUGAGAACGAACCGGUCUGGCGUUGGAAGGUCACCAGAAGCUCAAAUCCGAACUCCCUCGGCUGAGUGAUCCUGAACAUAAUCUCUCACUGCGUUUACCCCGGCGUUUUGAAAGUCCCCUUUAUUGCAUCUGUCUUUUUCUUAUCCCUGUGCUGUCGACUGCUGUCAUUUAGUCACGAGUGGCUGUUGAGCUCUUGAAAUGGCCAGUCCAAAUUGAGAUGUGUUGUGGGGGAGGGAUAAAUUAGGAGUUUGGGGUUAACAUAUACACACCACUGUAUAUAAAAUACAUAAACAGGAAGGACCUACUGUGUAGCACAGGGAACUGUAUUCAAUAUCUUGUAAUAACCUACAAUGGAAAAGAACCUGAAAAGAGAAUAUGUAUAUAUACACACACAUAUAUAUGUAUAACUGAAUCAGUUUGCCAUACACCUGAAACUAACACAACAUUGUAAAUCAGCUACACCUACGUUAAAAAAAAAUCCAAAUUGAGAUGUGCUGUAAGUGUAAAAUACAAACUGAUUUU